UUCUUCUGCAAUUUUGAGACAAUUAGAUCAUUUGAUUUAAGCAACACAAUAAUCAAUAAUGAAGCUAAAUAAGGGUUAUAUAUAGCUUAUGGUGAUUUGUUAUGUUCAGACAAAGGAACGAAACUGUACGCAACUGUUUGGGUAAAAGAAUCUCAUUGGAAACAAAAGGAUUAUAGUGAUAAAAGGAUAGAAUGCUAAUAAUAUAUAUAAAAUCCGAUUGGUUCAAAAGGAAAAUAAAAUUGUGAGGAUGACUGACCUUUACAAGGGGCGGAGAGUCAGAUUCUGGCGGUUCGUGAGAGAAGAUGGGAGAGGAAGAUGCGAAUACUCUGGUCGGGAUUUGACUUGGAAUUGAAGUAGAGCACGAAAUCGACGACGGUGGAGAAGAGGGUUUGAGCUUCGUUGAUGGCGAGAUAUUAGCUACUACAGGUUUCACAGAGAAUUUCUGAGAGGCUGUUCUGAUUCCGAAAGAUGCAUGAAGAUUCGACUGAGCCGCCAUUUUCCGCUGCGUUUGAA
Molecule: long non-coding RNA, 513 nt
Organism: Raphanus sativus (radish)
Lineage: Eukaryota; Viridiplantae; Streptophyta; Magnoliopsida; Brassicales; Brassicaceae
Exons: 2
Source: RefSeq, a predicted model, not a curated record